Homo sapiens (human) is the source of this 864-nucleotide long non-coding RNA. NCBI's taxonomy places the organism in Eukaryota, Metazoa, Chordata, Mammalia, Primates, Hominidae. The record is from Ensembl.
AAACUAGGAAAGCAGUUGAACAGCUAUGCGAGAAGCCUACUUUCUCUUCAUGUAACACGUUGGCCUAAGAGAUCUAUAGAGCUUUUUAAAAACAAAGAAGGCAGCAAGAUUUAAAAUAAUAAAACCAGCAAUAGGUAUUUUUAAAAGUGAGAGAAACUAUCAGAGAGCUGUAGCAGAAAAGCAAGUUAAAAAUAAAGGAAACAGAAAAGGAACUGAUACAGCUGAUUUGAUACUGGAAAAAUCACCCAGGAGGCAGCGUGGACAAUGGAUUGGAGAAGGGCGAACAUUCAGUCAGAGACUUUGUGAGCUUACUGUAAAUUAGAGGGAGCAAAUUGGAGGAGAAAUGACAAAAGAAACAGAAAAAAUGUUUAAUCAGACAAAGGAACUAAAAAACCUCAGUCUUAAUUAGAAGAUGGUCAAACAAAUCUCUUAACUGAUGUUCACAAUGAUGGUUUCAAGUCAUCUAAGGAAUGGGAGAAAAUACAACUGGUGAAUUGCAAAGAUAUUAAGAAAUUUUUUUCAUGACCUCCAAAGAAUAAAAUUAUAAAACUUAUUCUUACCUUUUUGUUUCCUGUAAACGUGUGGUAUAUUCCCCUUGUCCCUCACGACAAACUUCUCUAUGAUUUCCUCAAUGGUUAAGGCCCCAAAUGAUACAUUAAAAAAUAUACAUUUGUUUUAUAUUUUCAAAGUAUUCUUAAUCUUUAAUUAGGAACUACACUGAAACUCUGUUGUCAAUGCCCCUACGAAGACUGAAAGAGAUGUGAUGGUUUUAAGACUGGUGCCUAUGGUCAAAAGAAUAUACUGACUGCUUCCAAAUGUCUAUAAAUAAAUUAUGGUUUCUUAAAGGCCCAUGAAAUGAAACUU